Molecule: long non-coding RNA, 3290 nt
Organism: Dunckerocampus dactyliophorus (ringed pipefish)
Lineage: Eukaryota; Metazoa; Chordata; Actinopteri; Syngnathiformes; Syngnathidae
Exons: 4
Source: RefSeq, a predicted model, not a curated record
AACAGCGCGAACAUACUUUCAAUGGGCGUUUUGUGAUCAUCUCCGUGUAUAUUUAUGUGCUGCCUGAGUCUUUUUCUCAUCCACCUGCACGUAAUCCACCCUGUGCUCGUCAGAGAGGAGAGGCUUCUGCAAGACAAACACAGUCAUGAGGAGACGAUAGCAAACUGAGGAGAAGGAGAUGCCGAGUUAAAAUCCAAUGACAAGUAGUCAAUGUUUGAUCUUCUUGGCCAAGGUUGAACAGCUGCAUCAAAGGUGAGAGAGCCGUGCUGCCUCGACUCCUGCAGACAAAGAAGUAGUUGAAGUGUCAUGAGUGUUCCAGACACUUGUAUCUCGGUAAGUGCUACUUUCACAUGUUACAUUGAAGCAGUGUGAAAAUUAUAUUUUACCUGCUUCCUCUUGGUUGCCAAACUGGCAAAUGUGACUGAUACUGCUGAUCCAGCUGUUCAUCUCCUCUUCAGUUUUGGCCACCAAGUAGAAAAUGCGAGCAGAGGUCUUCACCACAAAGAGAUGCUUCUCUCCGAAGUCUCGCUUGAUCCCUAGCUGACCGUUGAGCAUUUCCACCUCGCACUCUUUCAGAUCAAUGGUGCGGAUUGGCUUUUUGGAACUCUUACUCUGGUAGUAUUCCAGCACAUCGGGGUUCCCACUCAUGCGGCCUCUUCGCAGGACAAACCAACGCUUUCUCCAUGCCUGAAGGAGAGAACAAGAAUUGCAAAUAAAAUUUUAGGUACGGAUAUUGACGUUACACCAACUCCCUUCUCCCCAUCAUUACUAUUUUCAUCAUGACCGGUCAUGAGAACUGGAUCGCAGCUUACUUGGCAACUUUAAAUUCAAUUGUUUGCCUGUGAUAUGCUCACUAAGCGGAACCUUUGCUCAAAUUCCCCGCAAAGAAGAGGAAGUUGACUGUAUUCAGCAGAAAAUGUAUAACACCAAGCAAUACCGAAGCACUUACACAGAAUUGAUGACAGCUGUCUAAUCAGGACACCCUAAAAACGUAAUAUUACAACAGACCAUUUACAUGAGAUCUACUGUACAUGUUAUCUAGGACUCCUGAGACCUCAGUGCAUUUGGGAUGCACUUCAGUCAUUUAGAAAAAUUUAUUAGAACAUUAAUGCUGCAUGAAAGCAAGGAUGUUUUUUCACACUUGGUUUUGUGGUUUCAUUCUCAUCAAGCUUUUUCUUUGUGUGUGGGUAAUCUGCAUCUGCACAUGUCGGUUAGUACCAGGAAAUGGUAAGACACACCGCAAUUACUGCAAACAUUUAUGGGGAAAUAAUAACUAUACUGAUCAUCUGACCUUUUCAAAGUUUUAAAUACAGAUUUGUGUGUGUUUUUUUUAUAUUAAAGGUGGCUUGGUGGUUUGUUUUUGCUUGCAGUUGCUCUCAUAGUGCGUAGGGUUGUGUCCUCUAAAGAGUGUAACGUAACACUAUUAUCUCUAUCGAAAGUGGCACCCUAAGCACACCCCUCCAUCUGCAAUUUACAUACGCUUACAAAAGAAAUUGAAUGGCAUUGUUUUUACUGUUGUCAAAUAAAAAAUUAAUAACUCUGAAAUGCAAUAUACAGUAGAUACCCUUACCACAAAAUAAAAAUCCUGCACAUAAGUCAAUAAAUAAUAAUAGUAAUAAAUUUAAAAAUACAACAACCAGCAUCAAACAAUUUAAAUAACUACACAGUUUGCGCACAAUAUAUAAUCUACAUUUACACUAUGCAAUACCUACAGUAACUACUGUAUAUAAAAAAGUAAAUAAAGUAGCUAUAAACAAAAGUACAUUAAGUACAUAUUUAACUCAAGGAUUGAUAUUUUCUGUAUUUUAUUGCCUCAUUGUAUAUUUUAAUUAAUGAAUUUGCUGUAUUGUAAAGCGCCUUUGUGUUUUAGAAAAGCGCUUAUAACAAAUUGUAUACCCCCGCGACCCUAAUGAGGAGAAGCGGCAUAGAAAAUGGAUGGAUGGAUGGAUGGAUGGAUGGAUGGAUGGAUGGAUGUAUUAUUAUUAUUAUUUAUUAUAUAUUUUGAAUAUAUAAAUAUGAGGGCUGUCAAAAAUAGCGCAUUAGCGGCAGUAGCUAAUUUAUUUAAUUAAGUUAAAAUGUUUUGCAUAAUUAAUUCAUGCACGUCAUGCCAAGCCACACCUCUCUUUUAUGACGGCAGACGGAGCACAAUAGCCUCCCCACACCGAGGCUGGCACUUUUUCCUAACUUUAUUUUGACCUGAACACAUCAACAGCAGUUUAAUGCCAACACCAUACACUGUAUAUGCAUCUUCAACUCACAAACAUGGCUCUUGUCCGCUUGUCAUCGGAAUGACACGUCCUCAUUGUAACUAGAUGACUGCGAGGUGCAUUCACGGAGACUCCGAAUAUCACAACAACAUCUUAUUAUGUGGGGUCUAUAUAAACAGAAAGACCAAGUCAAGCAGUAAGUGGAUAUUCUUAUCAUUCACUAGCAUAACUCUUUCUGCGAAAGUACAAUUUGCUGCGUUUCAAGUAUGCUUGGAAAGCCCAGAAAAUCUACACUCGAAACAUGAAUUCAGCUGAAAUCACACUGUGUCUUUGAAAUGUUCUGCUCCUAAGAGACUAGUGUUAGGCAAAUACAUUUUCAGACAUGUGCGGUACCUUUUAGCUUGAGGUACAUUUUCAGUUCCUUUGGAGCAGUUACAUACAUUAAAAAAUAUAUGUAUAUACAGUGGUGUGAAAAAGUGUUUGCCCCCUUCCUGAUUUCUUAUUUGUAACACAACUGAAAAAAAUGCAGUUUUUAAAUGAAACUUUUUAUUAUUCAGGGCCACCCUUAGCAGCAGCAACUGCAAACAAGCGUUUGCGAUAACUUGCAAUGACUCUUCUUGUAGCGCUGUGGAGAAAUUUUGCCCCACUUAUCUUUGCAGAAUUGUUGUAAUUCAACCACAUUGAGGGUUUUCCAGAAUGAGCCGUCUUUUUGAGGUCAUGCCACAGCAUCUCAAUAGGAUUCAGGUCAGGACUUUGACGAGGCCACCCCAAAGUCUUCAUUUUGUUUUUCUUCAGCCAUUCAGAGGUGGACUUGCUGGUGUGUUUUGGAUCAUUGUCCUGCUGCAGAACCCAAGUUGGUUUCAGCUUGAGGUCACAAACAGAUGGCCGAACACUCUCCUACAGGAUUUUUUGGUAGACAGCAGAAUUUAUGGUUCCAAUUAUCACAGCAAAUCUACCAGGUCCUGAAGCAGCAAAACAGCCCCAGAUCAUCAUAUGACCACCACCAUAUUUUACUGUUGGUAUGAUGUUCUUUUUCUGAAAUGCGGCGUUACUUUUGCCUCUUGUAAUUGGACACCACCUUCC